Molecule: long non-coding RNA, 1319 nt
Organism: Lolium rigidum
Lineage: Eukaryota; Viridiplantae; Streptophyta; Magnoliopsida; Poales; Poaceae
Exons: 2
Source: RefSeq, a predicted model, not a curated record
CGUGCGCGCGUUCGCCGACUACCAACGCGUCCGCCGCUGCCUCCAGUACCGCAUCUACCUACUCGGUCACUGUUACUCCUCCCGCCCACUCGCGUGUCCGUCUUUACUUCACUCAGCGUCCACCGCGAUUUCGUCCAGGAGGAAGUAGAGGAUAGUCGGGGGGUGCCGUCGGUGGAACCAAGACAGGAACAUGCAUCGCUUUGGAUUCACACUGGCGGAAGACUGAGAUUUGGUCAUAGUACAGGCUCAUCUUCUAAGUUUGCAGUUCGUUUUUAGAUCUUUCUAUGUUGGUGCUGUUGCUGGGAGAGAGAACGAUCAUACUGAUGUGGAUAUAUAAUUUUCUGAAUCGUGGUGAAGCGUCACAGUGAGAGAUGCCUCCUCCUUCUUUGAGAUGGUAUGUUUGUCUUCGUUUCUGAAGUGAAGAUUCGUUAGUUAUUUGGGCUUUCUGUGAUCCUUCUUUGUGUUCACGAUUUGAUUUUGGGUUUUGUAUUGUUUAUAAAUUGGUUGAUGUUUAUAGGGUUCAGCUGGCAAAUUCUGUAGAGCAUGUCAGAAGCAUAACAUUGGCCUGAUUAUGAACAACUUGCAUAAUUUUGUUUAUCAUCAUUGGCUGGAUCUUACCUGCCGCCGCCCAUUAUUCCCUCCCAAGGCAGAAUUAUGAAGAACUUUCAUAGAUUUUUAUUCUGCAACGAACUCAAUAAUGAGACAGGAAAUCGUUCAUUCUUUCAAUGUCAGUUAGCUAGAUAUGCUAAAAAUUAUAUUUGUUCAGAUUUCACAACUAUAGAUUCAGUUGAUAGACAUUCAAGAUAUGUUGGCUUCCCCUUUCCGUUUGGAAAUUAUGACAUCAAUGACCCGGAGUACCAAUAAUCAUGGCUCUGUUUGUAUACGUACAAAUUCUCAUUCUUAUAAACCAUGGUUACAGCUUAGGUUAGUUUUUAUAGAAAUCUGUCAUCUCUACAUAUUUCUUCAGUUGAAGGCUUGGGACAUUAUUUAUGAAAAAUUUACUAUUUCUUCUGACUUUAGUUGUUCCUCUAUGAAAUUGUCUGACACUCUCAUAUCAGUCAGAUGAACUGCGUUUUGUUAAUCUAAACUACCAGGUUGGUGCUAGGAUCACUGAAGGCAACAUAGCAUCCCCAAUGGCUUCUACUUCAGGGCAAAAAUUGCUUUACUGCUGGUUGUCGUUGAUUAGUGUCCAACAUUUUUCCCAAGUUGAUAAAUACUGCCGAUCUAUUAAAUCAUGUGCAAAUAUUUGACUACUAUUCUUAGAAUGAGAAAUUGACAUGUCUUUGACAUUCAAAUCAAGCAAACUGAUAUUUCAAUUC